Molecule: ribosomal RNA, 253 nt
Filed under: uncultured bacterium
Lineage: Bacteria
Description: partial 16S ribosomal RNA
Rfam family: Bacterial small subunit ribosomal RNA
Source: RNAcentral
UACGAGGGGGGCAAGCGUUGUUCGGAAUUAUUGGGCGUAAAGGGUGCGUAGGCGGUUUGGUAAGUCUUAUGUGAAAUCUACAGGCUCAACUUGUAGUCUGCAUGAGAAACUGCCGGGCUUGAGUAUGGGAGAGGUGAGUGGAAUUCCUGGUGUAGCGGUGAAAUGCGUAGAUAUCAGGAGGAACACCUGUGGCGAAAGCGGCUCACUGGACCAUAACUGACGCUGAUGCACGAAAGCUAGGGGAACAAACAGG